This 555-nucleotide long non-coding RNA is filed under the name Homo sapiens (human). RNAcentral describes it as "HSALNT0312129". Lineage: Eukaryota; Metazoa; Chordata; Mammalia; Primates; Hominidae. The record is from RNAcentral.
GGAAGAUACUUGAAUCACAGGACUGAAUAAGGAAGAGCUGCCCUCAGCGUGGCCGGGCAACAUCUAAUCGGCUGAAAGCUUGGAUCGAAUGAAAAGGCAGAGGAAAGGUUCUGAAGACCUCAAAUGGACUGAGCCACACUACCAGCAUCCAGCAUCCAUGGUUCUCCAGUCUGCAGAUGGCCUAUUAUGGGACUUUUCAGUCUUCAUAAUUAUAUGAGAGAAAGAAAAUGAAAAGGAUUUGUAAACUAUAAAUCUCUAAACAGAUGGGAGGAAAGGAAUUGAUGAAACAAUAAAUUUAUUGAUGAAACAAUAAAAAUAAACAUAAAGAACCAAAGUUAUUCUCACAAUCACCACUCCUAACUUUUGAUGCUCCUGUCCAGAAAACUGAGCAAAAGAGUGGCUGAAGAAUAGGAAUGAUGAAGAGAAGAAGUAAAAACACCUGGUCCCUGAUAUUCUGUUCAUAUUUUUUCAGCCUAUUUUCUCUCUCAUUCAAAUUGAGUGAAAUUCUAUUUCUGUGUCCUCAAGUUUACUGAUUCUAUCCUCUGUCAUCUCCAC